This is a long non-coding RNA of Anas platyrhynchos (mallard), 878 nucleotides long. RefSeq lists it as uncharacterized. The record is from RefSeq and is a predicted model, not a curated record. NCBI's taxonomy places the organism in Eukaryota, Metazoa, Chordata, Aves, Anseriformes, Anatidae.
UAUAUCUUCAAGUCCCACCUCAUCCUUGUGGUGUACAGUGAUGAAAAUCUUCUGUGCUGCACAGCUUUUGUUACCUCCUGAGGCACAGGUCCUCUGAUGCACCCAUGAGCAGGUUUGGCUUGAGCCCAGCUUCAUCCUGAGCUCAGCAGGCUGCAGUGGGAGGCCUACCUGUGACUCCUGUGACUGACCUGAAAGAAUUCCUCAUACAGAACUUCAGAGCAUUUAUGUUGGCCUGCACUCGCCUCUGUGCGUGGGUGGAAGUCUGAGCAAUUUUACUCUUCCAGACAAAGAGAAGAGAAGACCAACUGCUUCAGCCAGUGGUAUGACAGAGUCUGCUUGUGCGUCAUCCCCAGUGGGAGCUGCAGGAGACAGCGCACCCUUCCCUAACUGUAUGUUCCCCAAAAACUUGGGGGACCACAUCCACCCUACUACCCUUUGAAAAUGGAGCUAAAGCAUGCUUCUUUGUGUAGGGAGGGAAUUCAACUGGUGAGCACAGACUGUGGGUAACCACUCCAGCAUUCCCACGCAUUGCCAAGCACCCGCAAGCCUUGAAUUUACGAGCUCAGUCUGAGUUGCAAAUUGAACGAGACCUGCUUCUUUUGAAUUUCCUAGCUUCAUAGUUUUGAUCCUUAUGUUUCAUUGCGUUAAAUCCUUUCAUGUUUGGGACAGUAUAAAACUUCUGUUUUCUUUUUCUGCAUUAGCAAGAAAGAGUCACUUUGUAUUCUGGGUGUUUUGCAAAAGAUGUUUAACUGAAAUUGUUGUUUAUUGUCAUAACCGAAAAGCACUUCCUUUCAUGUUUCAUUUUAAAUGCAGCUCUGAUGCUCACAAAUAAUAAAAUACAAACUCAUCUUUGCAGUUGCAAAAGUUGGUAAAGCACA